This is a non-coding RNA of Acanthosepion pharaonis, 102 nucleotides long. The record is from the annotation of a GenBank genome assembly. Lineage: Eukaryota; Metazoa; Mollusca; Cephalopoda; Sepiida; Sepiidae.
UUACGGUCAUAUUUGGUUGAAACACCGGUUCUCGUAUGAUCCCCGAAGUUAAUCAACGUCGAGCCUAAGUAGAUGGCCACUUGGGAAUACCAGGUGUUGUAA